AGGAUUUAUUUUACAAAAUGGCUG
This 24-nucleotide non-coding RNA is filed under the name Arabidopsis thaliana (thale cress). The record is from RNAcentral. Lineage: Eukaryota; Viridiplantae; Streptophyta; Magnoliopsida; Brassicales; Brassicaceae.